AAGGUUUUUGGGCGAAAGUUUUUUUUCCCGGAGUGUUUUCGGUUCUAGCGAGGUCCAGAGUUAUAAUGUUAUAUUGGAUUUGAGUUCCUCUUAAUUUUCUGCAAAUUUUGACUAUUUAUUUGUAAGGUUUGGUUAAGAUUUUUGAAAAUAGAGGAGUUUCUAGUUGAGAGGUGAGAGCUUUGUGCAAGCAGCAAGAAGAAGAAGCUGCAGACGAGG
Molecule: long non-coding RNA, 216 nt
Filed under: Ananas comosus (pineapple)
Lineage: Eukaryota; Viridiplantae; Streptophyta; Magnoliopsida; Poales; Bromeliaceae
Description: long non-coding RNA (ACOM_LNC026515)
Source: RNAcentral